CCUACGGGAGGCUGCAGUGGGGGAUAUUGCACAAUGGGGGGAACCCUGAUGCAGCGACGCCGCGUGGGUGAAGAAGCGCCUCGGCGCGUAAAGCCCUGUCAGCAGGGACGAAAAUGACGGUACCUGACGAAGAAGCCCCGGCUAACUACGUGCCAGCAGCCGCGGUAAUACGUAGGGGGCAAGCGUUAUCCGGAUUUACUGGGUGUACAGGGGGCGAAGACGGCGAUGCAAGCCAGGAGUGAAAGCCCGGGGCCCAACCCCGGGACUGCACUUGGAACUGCAUGGCUGGAGUGCAGGAGGGGCAGGCGGAAUUCCUGGUGUAGCGGUGAAAUGCGUAGAUAUCAGGAGGAACACCAGUGGCGAAGGCGGCCUGCUGGACGGCAACUGACGUUGAGGCCCGAAAGCGUGGGGAGCAAACAGGAUUAGAUACCCGAGUAGUC
This 440-nucleotide ribosomal RNA is filed under the name uncultured bacterium. RNAcentral's name for it is "partial 16S ribosomal RNA". It matches the Rfam family "Bacterial small subunit ribosomal RNA", at positions 338 to 795 of the family's 1533-position model. The record is from RNAcentral.